GAUUCCUGCAGAUUUGGCAGGAAACUCAGCAGGACAUUGAGACUCUGCUAGAAGCAAGAAGCCCUGUUUUUCUUUCCACCCCCACCAAUCUGUCAAGAUUUAAGGUUUGGAUUAGAAAUUAAAACAAAGAUGGUAGCAAAAGAAGCACAAUGUAAUUUUUCAUCAAAGGGCCUCAGCUAAACUGCUCUUAAAGAUUCAAGCUGGAAUAUGUCACCCAAACUCUCAUUCUGUUCUAUUUUUAAUUUCUCAGCCAUCACAGAUGUUGGGGUGUGAGUGUGUUUGUGUGUGUGUGUGUGUGUGUGAACUAAUUAACUUUAUUUUGCAUUAUGACACUGCAGCUCUUGUUUUGGCUAUAUUUCUCCUAUAAGUCAAGAAAGAGUAAGUAGAAAACAAAACUGCAAAAUCACACGUAUAGCUACCACUCCUCUAAUAUUUAUCUAAAUCAAUAUUUACAUAAAGGUGUAAAAAGCAAAGAAUAAACCAGUUGCUGAUUUAUCUCUACCUAGGUAAAAGGCAGAGAUGUGGAUUGUAAGACAAAUAAUUUCAAAUAAAUAUCAGCAUUAAUGUUUAUGUCUAUAGUUGUUUAAAAUUUGUCUCAUUUGAAUACUUCAAGUACCCUAUUAUCGGCCUACCAAAUUCUAUCUCCUUCAAGUCCCAACAUGAGG
RNAcentral lists this long non-coding RNA (665 nucleotides) under Homo sapiens (human). RNAcentral describes it as "non-protein coding lnc-SORCS3-15:3". Lineage: Eukaryota; Metazoa; Chordata; Mammalia; Primates; Hominidae. The record is from RNAcentral.